ACAUGGGAAUUUUUUGGUAUUAUGUAUAUGACUUAUAAGUGAAAUUAUUUUGGAAUAAAUAUUUACAAGUUUAAGUUAAUUGACAUAACCUACCACAUCGGUAGAAAAAGUAAGUGAAGCCACUUUAUUAUUUAAAUAGAUGGCAGAAAAUAUAUUUGAUUAAGCUUUACACCCAUUCAUGACUAAAAAAAACUAGGACUGAAAGGGAAGCUCAUUAAAAAUAAAAGGAAAUCAACAUACAACAAAUAUCAUACUAAGAAGAUAAAUACUGAACUAGCUCUUCCUGGUAUUAAUGAGACAAGAAUGCUUGGUACCUCUUUAACAUAGGACUGAAGGCUCUAGCUUACCAAUAAGGCAAAAAGGAAAAAAGUUUAAGACAUUAAAUGGGGAAGACUAAAGUAUAGCUCAUUAUUGGUAGGUGGUAUCAUUGCAUAGAAAUGUGAAAAAAAUCUCAUAAUGAAGACAUUAUGAGAGUAAUUUGGCAAACUCACUGUAGAAAAAUUGUUUAUCAAAAAAAAAAAGAAAAAAUGUUUAUCAAUAUAAAUUGCGAAUAGAAAAUAAACUAAGUGAUACCAGGACAGUUGAAUCCACUCAGGACAAGAUAGCAGAUUUACCUGCUGCCUAAAAACACAGGGGAGAAAGGAAACAUAGUUAAUUGUUUUCAUGUCAGUGGACAUCAGGCAAUACAGGGUCAGUGAUCCUUGCUGGUGAUGGGUAGGCUCACUAUAUUGUGGUGAUGAUUAUAUAGGUGUGUUUAUCAAAUUAUAUCAAGAUGUAUACUUUAACUGCUGUUAAAUUGCUGUUAGGUUUACAUUAGUCCUAAGAAAGUAAGUUCUAGAAAUCCAAAAACUGCAUCACCAAAUUCAGGGACAUUAAAGACCAAUAUAAGUGGAGGGAAUGAGCAAAUCUGAAUUUAAAACAUGCAGAUGCAAUGAUUAACUGUAGCUAAGACAACCUGAAAAUAGAAAAAUAAACCUACCGGACUUAGAUUGCUAGAUAUCAAGACUGGUAUAGGAACAAGCAUAAACAAUGUCCAGAAACAGUCCCCAGUAUAUUCAUGUAUUAAAAAGAUGGUAUUUUUGAUAUAUGGUGCUGGGUUAAUUGGCUCUCUAUAUGCAUAAGAGGAAUAUUUUGACUAUAGCCACCCACCAUACACAGAAACUCGUUUUGUAUGGAUUGUACAUCUAAAUGUAAAACAUAAUACAGUAGCACUUAUAGAAGAAAAUAUAUGUGAACAUAUGGCCAAGACACCCUAAACAAGAAACAAAAACCAUAGAUAAAUUAGGCUAUGUUAGAAUUAAGAGCUGUGGGACUCCUAGGUGGCUCAGUGGUUGAGCAUCUGCCUUUGGGUGUGGUCAUGAUCCCUGGAUCCUGGGAUCGAGUUCUGCAUCAGACUCCCCAUGAGAAGCCUGCUUCUCCUCCCUCUGCCUGAGAGAGGCAGAGACACAGGCAAAAGGAGGAGAAGCAGACUCCAUGCAAGGAACCCAAUGUGGGACUCGAUCCUGGGAUUCUGGGGUCAGGCCAUGAGCCAAAGGCAGAUGCUCAACUGCUGAGCCACCCAGGCAUCCCUAUGUAAAAUAUUUUUUAAAAAAGAAUUAAGAACUGCUGUUGUUAAAAAAACAGAAACCAAAAAUACAUGACCAAAAGUGAGUCACAGAUUCAGAGAAUAUAAUUGCAAUGUGUAUAUCAAACAAAGCACUAUACUACAUAAUAUAAAAAGAACUCCAACAAGUGAGUAAGAAAAAAAAUGAGCAGCAGAUGGAACAUAAUUGACAGUAUAUUUAAAUGACCGGUAAAUAUGGAAAGUUGUUCAAUUUCAUUAGUCAUCGAGGAAAAACAAAUUCUAACAAAAAUGUUAUACCACAGCUACCGCAGCAUACAGAAGGGCUACAGUGAUAGAACACCAAACUGAUGAAGUCCUGAAGCAACUGAGACUAAUACAAGUUUGGUGGGAAUAAGUUGUGCACUUUGGAAAAUAGGCUUUUUGUACUAAAGCUGGACAUACAUGUAAAUUUUGGCGGUGUAAUUAUACUUCUAGGCAUAUAUCCAACAGAAAUACAUGUUUACUAGAAGUAGUAGUUAGUAGUAGUGGUAGUAGUAUUCUCAAUAGCCCGGAAGUUGUAACCGCACAAGUGGCCACCAACACUAAACUGCAUACAUAAAUUGCGCUUUUCUUCCAGUGCUGUAUUCUAUAGCAGUAGGAAUGAAUGAAACACAAUUGUAUGCAUGCAAAAGAACACAGAAGAGUAAGUGCUAUGUUUUUUCAUUCAAGAAGCAGAUAAAUGUAAUACUUGGUGUUAGAAGUUGGAAUGAUGGUUUUUGGAUGAUGGCAGUUUGCAGAGAUUGACUUAAGGGGGCUCCUCUGGUGCUAAUAGUAUUCUUUUUAGCUCAGUAUUGAUUGUAGUUGUAUUCAAUUUACAAAAUUUAUUACUUGUGAAUUUUUAUUUAAAUACAUUCAUGUUUGAGCAUAAAUGUUCCUUAA
This 2482-nucleotide long non-coding RNA is filed under the name Canis lupus familiaris (dog). RNAcentral describes it as "lncRNA (ENSCAFG00845002146.1)". Lineage: Eukaryota; Metazoa; Chordata; Mammalia; Carnivora; Canidae. The record is from RNAcentral.